AAUUAUAUAAUAUAAUUAGUAUAUUUGAUUUCCAAUCAAAAAGUUUUAUUAAAAUAUAAAUA
This 62-nucleotide transfer RNA is filed under the name Eoxenos laboulbenei. RNAcentral describes it as "transfer RNA-Gly". The record is from RNAcentral. Lineage: Eukaryota; Metazoa; Arthropoda; Insecta; Strepsiptera; Mengenillidae.